Molecule: non-coding RNA, 98 nt
Organism: Pleurotus pulmonarius
Lineage: Eukaryota; Fungi; Basidiomycota; Agaricomycetes; Agaricales; Pleurotaceae
Source: the annotation of a GenBank genome assembly
GGCCUGAUGGUCUAGUAGUAUGAUUCCUUGUUAGGGUCUAGUUGCGACAGCGACUUGCGAUAUCGAGGAGGUCCCGGGUUCAAUUCCCGGUCAGGCCC